This 247-nucleotide ribosomal RNA is filed under the name uncultured bacterium. RNAcentral describes it as "partial 16S ribosomal RNA". It matches the Rfam family "Bacterial small subunit ribosomal RNA", at positions 86 to 334 of the family's 1533-position model. The record is from RNAcentral.
AGAUGGCGACCGGCGCACGGGUGAGUAACACGUAUCCAACCUGCCGAUAACUCGGGGAUAGCCUUUCGAAAGAAAGAUUAAUACCCGAUGGUAUAAUUAGACCGCAUGGUUUGAUUAUUAAAGAAUUUCGGUUAUCGAUGGGGAUGCGUUCCAUUAGGCAGUUGGUGAGGUAACGGCUCACCAAACCUUCGAUGGAUAGGGGUUCUGAGAGGAAGGUCCCCCACAUUGGAACUGAGACACGGUCCAA